CAAGACUGUCCGGUCACAGGAGUGACCAAAACAAACUUGAGAGAUUGCUCAACUCUGGACACACACACGAGGACGAUACAGUAAAAACACUCAGAGAAAAAACUGCACUCAUCACACACUGUAUUGAUUACGACCACCGCUUCGACCUCACCAAACCUACAAUAAUCGACGAAACACAGAAGAAGACCAUACUACCGUUCCUGGAGAUGGUAUGGAUACACAACCAAGAAACAAGUAUUAACAAACGAACAGAUACAGAAGGACUAAAUACGAAUUACUCUGAAAUUAUAAACAAAAUACAUACACUGAUGACACGCAGAAACACAAUAUUACAAAGUAACAGACAGUAAGCAGUACAGAUUAUAAAUAGUGAAAUAGUGAGGACAAAUAGGCGAAAAUUACCCAAAUGACACUGAUACGGAACCUAAUACCCAAAGACGGAUUUAUGUUAAGACAGACAAUUUUGACAAAAAACAGACCACUAGUAAGUUAACGAACAUACAAAAUUAUGAACAAUUAUAAUACACCUAAUUUUUAUAGUUCUCCCAUUGAAGAAGGCAAAAUACAAUUGCCGAAACGUCGGACAGUAGUAAAACCCUGUUUUAACUCUGGAAUUAAGACUGCAUGCCAAGAAAAUCCCGAAAUAUCUAAAUUACAGUCGAUCCAUCAUCAUAU
Molecule: long non-coding RNA, 675 nt
Organism: Armigeres subalbatus
Lineage: Eukaryota; Metazoa; Arthropoda; Insecta; Diptera; Culicidae
Exons: 2
Source: RefSeq, a predicted model, not a curated record